CAAUCACCAUGUACCAGCUGACCGCACCUAUCCAGUGAGAACGGAGCGCCGGCGCAGGGUCGCGCCGAUGACGUCACUGGACUCCAGCUGGACGGAGCGGAGGCUGUCUCUUCACGUAGGGAAAUGUGGCCACACCUGCCUGAUUUGGCCACUCCCCCUCAGAGUCACCGUGGCCCUACAGCUGAGUCUCCAUAGCCCUGGAUACUUUUUCGUAUUACUUAAAUCCUCUGCGUGGGGCAAAGAGGAAAGCGCAGGAAGCUUAAUGAAGAGGAAGAAAACAAACUGCGCCCUUAAAUAACCCAGACAGCGGUGUGAUCGCUCUAUGUAAGGAAUAGGCUUUUCCUGACUGUUGUGGGGAUCCUAUUCGGCAAGUGAUUCACACACCUUAUUAUUAUUACUGUUGUUAUUAUGAUGAUGAUGAUGAUGAUGAUGAUGAUGAUGAUGAUGAUGACGACUAUGGGUGUUAUAACCUAUAAAGUGAGAAAACCUGACAAGAUCCCUACGUUACAUAACAUAUUGAGUACAUGACUGUAGGGAUCACACAGUUUAUCAGUACAUUAUGUAAUGUACUGUUGGUAGAAGAUAUGAA
This is a long non-coding RNA of Pseudophryne corroboree (corroboree frog), 589 nucleotides long. RefSeq lists it as uncharacterized. Lineage: Eukaryota; Metazoa; Chordata; Amphibia; Anura; Myobatrachidae. The record is from RefSeq and is a predicted model, not a curated record. The transcript has 3 exons.